UGUUAUGGCCUCUUUGAAUUUCAAUUUGCAUUUCACAUUUGCAAAACAAUUUGUGAGAUUCUUAUUAUGAUAUCACCCUUUAAAUUUUUGUGAGAUUUUCUGAGGUGGUUUCUUUAAAUUGGUACCUUACUUCUUUCCUUUGAACAUUAAUAAAGUCUCAAAGCUUAUACUUCUUUCAGUGAUUGAAUUGCAGGUUUUAACCAGAGGCAUUGAUUGUAAUAUAGUUUUGCUACCAGUAGAAAGAAAGGAAAUUUGGAAAGAAGCUGAACCUCUCUAUUUAGGACAUUUGCCACGUCUUCAAGUUUAAAUUGCUAUCUUUCUUUGGUGGAAUCUGUUGUUCGUUCUAUGCAAUGUGUAUGGAUUUUGUCCUUUCGCAUUAUCCCUUUCAUCUAUGUGCAAAAGCUAAAAUAUGUUAUAUAAGGACUAAACAAAUCAUCAUAGAUGAUCCUUUUGAUGCCUUGGUUGAAUUGUUGUAGCUUGUUGACUAAUAACAAAGAUAAAUUGCCAAAGGCAUAAAGAGCUACAGGUGAUUUAGUAUCCUUAACUUUUGGAUCAUGAUGUCAUUUCUUGAUUCAUAUCUGAUUUCAAAUCUAUUAAUAUUGGUAUAUGACUGACACAAUGUCAUCAUAUUGAAUUGAAUUCCUCCCAUUUCCUAUCUCAUUGUUAAUAAUAUCAGUUGUAUCAGCUUAAUGUAGCUAUAUAAUUUCCACUAAUGUGUAAAUCUAGAAUUAAUUUAGUUAUUAUGUGAUUGUUAAAUACAGAGGUUAAAGUAUGUGGAUUGGUAUAUAUAUUUGACUAUUCCUGUCAGUAAAUCACUUGUUUGAAAUCUAAACUGCAUGGCUUCCUUAUGAGCAGGAUUUGGUAGCUGUUGUAGGAUAUCCCCUUGGAGGAGACACCAUUUCAGUAACAAAGGGUGUCAUAUCACGCAUAGAGGUAACAUCAUAUGCUCAUGGGUCAUUCAAUUUGUUGGGCACUCAAAUUGAUGCAGCAAUAAAUCCUGAGAAGGAGAAUUUGUGUCUCUAUGGAUUUCCAAAUGAGACAUGGGAAGUUAAUCUACCUAUUGAGGAGGUGCCUCCUGAGCUUCUAGAACCAGCCUUAGGUACAAAUCAUGCUAGGGAUGGGAUUCGAAAAAAGGAUUGGUUGUCACUAGUUGCCAACGCAAUUGUCACACAAAUAUUUAUUUUAGAGCAAGUUAUCCCUUUCCGGUGCUGUUUCACCUGUAAUAGUGGAAUUGACUGCCCAAUUCAUACUGAAAACUACUUAUAUUGUGAGAGUAAUCAUAUGCUAUCUUUUGUAUA
Molecule: long non-coding RNA, 1298 nt
Organism: Ziziphus jujuba (common jujube)
Lineage: Eukaryota; Viridiplantae; Streptophyta; Magnoliopsida; Rosales; Rhamnaceae
Exons: 3
Source: RefSeq, a predicted model, not a curated record